RNAcentral lists this long non-coding RNA (469 nucleotides) under Mytilus galloprovincialis (Mediterranean mussel). The record is from RNAcentral. Lineage: Eukaryota; Metazoa; Mollusca; Bivalvia; Mytilida; Mytilidae.
AAUAUCUUUUACUAAUAGUACAAGUGUGGACACAGAUGAGUGUGGAUAGUAUGUUUGGAUGUUUGACAGUGUCUUAUGACAAAAGGAGUUCUAUGUUUUUCCUAUAUGGUGUUAUUAACUGUGUUGCACGGUGACAACCGAUCUGAGCAUUAGGAGUGUUAUUUAUUUAAUAUUUUUUCAAGACAGGCAUGGAGGAGACAGUAAUUACAUUAGUUACCAAAUGGUUAUGAUAGAAUAUGUUCUACAUCUUUGACUUUGGAUACAUGUUGUAGCUAGGAGAGCAACACAUAAAAGGUUCAUUUUUUCACGUGUUUUUUUUUUCUAAAUGGGAGAUGAUAUCUAGAUUUGAGAACAUGAUAUAAGGAGCCUGUAACUCGGUGGUUGUCGUUUAUUUAAGUGUUACAUAUUAGUUUUCUGUUUAUUUUUUUAACAUAAAUAAGGCCAUUAGUUUUCGCGUUUGAAUUGUUUU